UGGGGAAUAUUGGACAAUGGGGGCAACCCUGAUCCAGCAAUGCCGCGUGAGUGAAGAAGGCCUUAGGGUUGUAAAGCUCUUUCGCUCGUGACGAUGAUGACGGUAACGAGAGAAGAAGCCCCGGCUAAUUCCGUGCCAGCAGCCGCGGUAAUACGGAAGGGGCUAGCGUUGUUCGGAUUUACUGGGCGUAAAGCGCAUGUAGGCGGCGGAUCAAGUGAGGCGUGAAAGGCCUGGGCUCAACCUGGGAACGGCGCUUCAGACUGAUUGGCUAGAGUUCGGGAGAGGGUGGUGGAAUUUCCAGUGUAGAGGUGAAAUUCGUAGAUAUUGGAAGGAACACCGGUGGCGAAGGCGGCCACCUGGCCCGAAACUGACGCUCAAGUGCGAAAGCGUGGGGAGCAAACAGG
Molecule: ribosomal RNA, 404 nt
Filed under: uncultured Defluviicoccus sp.
Lineage: Bacteria; Pseudomonadati; Pseudomonadota; Alphaproteobacteria; Rhodospirillales; Rhodospirillaceae
Description: bacterial SSU rRNA
Rfam family: Bacterial small subunit ribosomal RNA
Source: RNAcentral